UACGAGAACCCCAAGCGUUAUCCGGAAUCAUUGGGCGUAAAGGGUGUGUAGGUGGUGUGGUUAGUCUUCUGUCAAAAUCUCGGGCUUAACCCGAGUCUUGCAGAGGAAACGGCCACACUCGAGGAUGCGAGAGGUGAAUGGAACUCAUGGAGUAGGGGUAAUAUCCGUUGAUAUCAUGGGGAACACCAAAAGCGAAGGCAAUUCACUGGCGCAUUCCUGACACUGAACACGAAAGCGUGGGUAGCGAAUGGG
RNAcentral lists this ribosomal RNA (252 nucleotides) under uncultured bacterium. Its description in RNAcentral is "partial 16S ribosomal RNA". It matches the Rfam family "Bacterial small subunit ribosomal RNA", at positions 524 to 776 of the family's 1533-position model. The record is from RNAcentral.